Long non-coding RNA from Macrobrachium nipponense, 1218 nucleotides. RefSeq lists it as uncharacterized. The record is from RefSeq and is a predicted model, not a curated record. The transcript is spliced from 3 exons. Lineage: Eukaryota; Metazoa; Arthropoda; Malacostraca; Decapoda; Palaemonidae.
UGGGAAAUAAUGUCAUCUAUGAUAUGUGCGAAAAGAGUAAAAUUUUGACAGGUUAAGAAACCGGGAAGGUAAGGACCAGCACUGGAACCAUCAAGGAGCAUCAGCGAAUCGGCACAGUUGCAGAUUUGACUUCAUUGUCGGCAUGAAGACUGCGUAUACGUGUAAAGCAGGACAUAUAUAUCAGGUACUUAUUUACCGAAAUACAUUAUUCAAGCUUUUAGAAAAAGUUCAGAUUUUUUCUGCGUCAAUUAUCGUGAUUCUGCAAUAAGGAACCUGUAUAAACUUAGUGGGCAGUGAAACGAUUCUUUAGCAGAGACGGUUGUCUAAAGUCAAAGACGAAAAUUUAUUAAUUACAGGGUAACCCCCGUAUGACCCGAUGAAGGGCCAAGGCAUACGUGAAUUUUGUUGUGAAAUGUCAGACGAGAAGAUUGGGUUGCCCUGGUCCACGGUACAGAUCCAUGCCCAGUUCAUACUGAUCAGGUUGAAGUGCCCAGCUCAUACUGAUAGAUCAGGUUGGAGUAUAACCGUGGCCAACAGACACACGUGACAUUUUCUCAAAGUCGUUCCAGACUUCUCAGCUGAGACUAGUUUUAUAUACUGAAACCACAAUUCUCAUUGCCUGGAGUUUAAAUAACGGCUUUCGGGGUCUAUUUGUUCAUGUGCAGCUGUAAUAGAUUAACUUUUAGCCACCCAAAUAUACUCGUAAACAAACUAAUUUGUUAGCUACUGAAGUGUACACACGAAUAACAUAGUUGGUCACGGAACACCGAUUAAGUUCUGUACGACGUCUAAUUUUCUAAGUAUUGUUUGGAAACGAGAUACAGGUGUUCCUGGAACAUCUCGGUCUUGUCCGCUCAGGAGCCGCCCGAACAUCCCCCCCAAGCCGAUGAUUUCAUAUUUCCCUGAAGGAAAACAAUGCUACUCCGACCUACACUUGGUAUUUCAAGAAUAAGUUUCCCUCGGCUAACGAAGGCAAAAUUGAAACGGAAACCAGAUAAUGUUAAACGAAGCUUUCGGAUAAGAGAUGAAAUGAGCAAAAAAAUGUUAACAUGCUGAAGUACUAGUUGGCAAGAAUUGAAGAAAUUAGGAAUGAUUUGGCAUCGAUGCAGCUCGUGACUAGGGGACAGCUUUUUCUGCCAAGAUUACGUGAAACCUUCUUAACUUUUCCUAGUUAAUAACCAUAUUUUGACGGGACACAAUAGGAAAACGAAUGCCCAA